CACGCCGUAAACGGUGGGUACUAGGUGUGGGUUCCAUUUCACGGGAUCCGUGCCGUAGCUAACGCAUUAAGUACCCCGCCUGGGGAGUACGGCCGCAAGGCUAAAACUCAAAGGAAUUGACGGGGGCCCGCACAAGCGGCGGAGCAUGUGGAUUAAUUCGAUGCAACGCGAAGAACCUUACCUGGGUUUGACAUACACCAGACGUGUCCAGAGAUGGGCAUUCCCUUGUGGUUGGUGUACAGGUGG
Molecule: ribosomal RNA, 246 nt
Filed under: uncultured Nocardiaceae bacterium
Lineage: Bacteria; Bacillati; Actinomycetota; Actinomycetes; Mycobacteriales; Nocardiaceae
Description: partial 16S ribosomal RNA
Rfam family: Bacterial small subunit ribosomal RNA
Source: RNAcentral